AGAUGAUCUGGCUGAUUCAUGUGUCACCCAUCGAUCACCAGGUUGAUCCUGCUGAUCUGGUUGGCUAGUCGGAUGUCCCCUUCCUCACCACGCCAUGAGUGUCCCUUCGGAAGCUGUGUGCUCCAUUGAAGACACUGGCUUUCAAGAUAGAGGAGCACUAUUCUUUGGUCAAGAGUAUAUGAGUAGCUGUGCUCCCCUGCUAGAACCUCCAAACAGACUCUCAAGGAAACAAAGAGCAAGAUGGUAGACCUAACUUCAGUCAUACCCAAAAUUACUAUAAAUGUAAAUGACAUAAAUAUUCCAAUU
Molecule: small nuclear RNA, 306 nt
Filed under: Sus scrofa (pig)
Lineage: Eukaryota; Metazoa; Chordata; Mammalia; Artiodactyla; Suidae
Description: 7SK RNA (ENSSSCG00070018110.1)
Rfam family: 7SK RNA
About the family: 7SK was discovered as an abundant small nuclear RNA in the mid-70s but a possible function has only recently been suggested.
Source: RNAcentral